UCUCCCAGCCUCCUGCUGGGGCUCCCAUUACCCAAACCCAACAAGUAGCCAGAGGCUCUGCUCAGGUGGUCUAUAUAGGUCAGCUGACAGAGAGCAGGGUGCCUAGGGGUGGGGUGUGGCCCACUGACCACAGGACGCAGGGGCUACCUAUUGCACUGAUUCCUUUGAUAACCUAGGUGAGAGGCUGUACCCACAAGAUGCCCCAUGUUUUUCUAUAUUUACCUUUAUAUUAUUUUACUGUUGCAAUAAUAUAUGCCUGCUUUUUUUUUUUAAUUCUGGAAAGAUACGUCAGACAGUAUGUGUGUGAAGGGAUGGGUGCCUGUGAGGGUAUAUAUGUACAGAAUGUCAGUGGAUUCGUGUGUGAGAACAACGUGUGUUUGUGACAGUGUGUGUAUGUGUAUGUGCAUGUUUGUGGAGUAUGUACGUUAAUGAGCACAUGUGGGAGGGGUUGAUUGUGAAUAAGCAUGCGUGAGAGGUGGGAGUAGGCCGUGUGCUAAGACAUGUGUCUGUGACAAUGUACGCAUGCGUGCGAGGAUGUACAAUGGAUGUAAGACGUGUAUGUGUAAGGGAUAGUUAGAUGUGUUCAAGGGUGUUUGUGAGAGGGGGGUGAGGGUGUGUAUGUAUGGGUGGUAGUGCCUGGGUGUGGGGGAGAUGAAGAUGUGGAAGGGGGUGUGAGAAGAUGUGUGAGUAAAGAGGUGGGUGAGUGUGACAGUGUGUGUAAGGGGAUUUAUAGAUAGUAUGCGUGUGCCUGGAAGCACAGAGGUGAGUGUAUUUAUAUACAUCUAUACACGUAACAAUAGAAACAGUUGCUUCUAGGAAAAAAAAAAAACAACUGGAAGAAGAUACUCCAGAAUGUUCAUAAUAGUAAUCUCUAGUGUUGGAACAAGGAUCCUGGCUGUGUCACUCACUUAUGACCUUAGGCCAGGCACUCAAUCUUUUGAAUCUCCUUUCCUCUCUUGUAAGUUGGGACAGUGUACCUACCUCACAGAGCAGUCGGGAGGAUUAAAUAAGUCAAUGCUUGUCAAGGGUUAAACAUAAAGUGCCUGGCUCAUUACAGGCAGUGAACAACUCUCCUUUUCUGCUACUUUGUAGUCAGUGAAACAAUGAACAUUUCAGUCUGUUUUCUACAUUCCAAGAGCACAUGAAAAAUAUUGUACCUUUCUGAAAACAUGUAAAAAUAAUACAAAUCUUGACUAGCAAAAUGUGUCUUAAUAGGAAUGUAUUCGAAAAUUGGAAUCCUCUUUUUCAAUAUGUAGCCAAAUAGAUAUCUACGUCCUUGGUUAAUUUGUAGAAGGAAAUCUUGUCUUUAAAAUUCAGAGCCAUAUGAGUGUUUAAUUUUUCACGGGAUUUCAUUAAUUUUCUGGUAUUCAAUAAUCAAAACUAAUCACCACUGAUGCUGACAAGCCAAGGCCAUGAUGGUUUUGCAUUAAUGAGAUGAUAAUAUGAAUGUAAUACCCCAUUCGUAUCACAUUGUUUUAGCUAAAUCUAAAGUCUCAAAGCUUAUGCACUAAACACUAACAGGGAUUAUCAAUGGUGGAAGGUCUUUGGUAAUUGUUAUUUUUUUUAUUUUGGUUUUGUGUUUUCUACAAUUUUUUUAAUGAUGAACAUAUAGGGCUUAUAUAAUAAGAUUUCUAUGAAAACUGAUUUAAGAGCAAGUUGUUUUCCUAAGUUAAAAAGGCCCUAAAUUCUUUCACUGGUACAUCACUGUCUCUGCACUGCCUCAUUUUACUAAUAAUAAAAUAUGAGAUUUUCCCUAUUCCA
Molecule: long non-coding RNA, 1761 nt
Organism: Ursus americanus (American black bear)
Lineage: Eukaryota; Metazoa; Chordata; Mammalia; Carnivora; Ursidae
Source: Ensembl